RNAcentral lists this ribosomal RNA (255 nucleotides) under uncultured bacterium. RNAcentral describes it as "partial 16S ribosomal RNA". It matches the Rfam family "Bacterial small subunit ribosomal RNA", at positions 524 to 776 of the family's 1533-position model. The record is from RNAcentral.
UACGUAGGGACCAAGCGUUUGUUCGGAUUUACUGGGCGUAAAGGGCGCGUAGGCGGCAUGACAAGUCACUUGUGAAAUCUCUGGGCUUAACCCAGAACGGCCAAGUGAUACUGUCGAGCUAGAGUGCGGAAGGGGCAAUCGGAAUUCUCGGUGUAGCGGUGAAAUGCGUAGAUAUCGAGAGGAACACCUGCGGCGAAGGCGGGUUGCUGGGCUGACACUGACGGCUGAGGCGCGAAAGCCAGGGGAGCGAACGGG